UNGUAACACUUAGGGCCAUUUUCAGCAGA
RNAcentral lists this non-coding RNA (29 nucleotides) under Mus musculus (house mouse). Lineage: Eukaryota; Metazoa; Chordata; Mammalia; Rodentia; Muridae. The record is from RNAcentral.